UAUCAGAUAUUUACAUUACGAUUCAUAACAGUAGCAACAUUUCAGUUAUGAAGUAGCAACGAAAAUAAUUUUAUGGUUGGGUCACAACAUGAGGAACAGUAUUUAAAGGGCCAGAAGGUUGAGAACCGCUGCCCUAGAGGCUUUCCCUGAGAAAUGGACGGUGCUGUUUCAACAGGAAAAAAGCGGUAGGAUUUGCUGGUAGUUCAAUGCAGCCUGUGUUUGGAUCUCCCUGUAACCGGUGUUUUUUGUUUUUCUUUUUCUUCUUUUUUUUGAUCUGACUUUGACAACAGGGUUCCCUUCCGUCUCCAUCUCCAGCCUUUUCCUGGGCUCUGCGUUGAACUCUUGGCACUGGAUGUUGUCCUGGUCAACCCUUAGGCAGGUACAUCCUGAGAACAAAACACUUUCCCCUCCAUGUGGCUAGAGCCAUCGCAUUUCCAACCUCCUCGAGUAAAUGAAGUUCCGAGGGGUUACCUGAUACCCACUUAGACCUCGGUCCUGCGAGACCCGACAUCCUGCCAGGACUUUACACUUACUGUGCAGAAAGACAAACAUCUAUACACCAGAUUUCCCUGCGUUUCCUAUAGAGUGUCUUCCUAAUUACUUCCGCUUGAAGCAGCACCCUCAGUUCUUUCUCUCUCUUUGCAUAGGACCGUCUAUUUGUUGCCCCAAACCGCCCAACUUUCUGAGAAUUUUAAACACAAUUUCUCAGCUUAAAUUUAUUUAUUUAUUGCUUGAAUCUAUUUCACCAUUGUCCUCAACGUUCUUUCCCUUCUCCUUAGUAAUCCCUCGGCAAAACCCUGUCCGUGGAUACACCUGUUUCACGACUGUUACUUGGCUCUGAAAUAUGGUUCAAGAGGAAAACAUUUAACCACGCUGCCUCUCAGUCCUGAGGCACAAUAUAUUUUGGCCUCCAUCCUAGGUAACUGCCCUGUUACCUAAGUUAAGGGUUUUUCCAUCAGUGAAACGCAGCCAUUGGUUGAGACACAGCCAAUUAAUUUGAGGGGUGACAAUCUACAUUAUUGAUGAAGAGAAACAGUCAGUGUAUAUUACACAUAGGGAUAGUAAGUAUUGUUCAUGAAACUUUUGUUCCAGAUUAAAUGCAUAAAUUGUGUACCAGUUCACAACAUUAAAAAAUGUGUCUUGCUCUGGCCAAUGUGGCUCAGUUGGUUAGCAUCAUCCCAGGCACCAAGGGGUUGCCAGUUAGAUACCCUGUCAGGGCACAUGUCCAGGUUUGGGCUUGAUCCAUGGUAGGGGGCAUGAAGGAGGCAGCCGAUUGAUAUUUCUCUCUUAAAUUGAUGUUUCUCUAGCCCUCUCCCUUCCUCUCUCUGUAAAAUCAAUAAAAAAAUCUUUAAAAAUAUUUCUUAUUGGAAAUUUGAGUCAGUAAUUCAAAACACCAAUAUAGUCAUUUUUAAAUUUUACACCUACUCUCUGCUCAAAUCUCUAAUCCACCUUCUUCACUUAGCAGAUAACUUUGCAUCUGAUUUCAGUGACAAACUGAAGCUGAAGAGAACUUGUUUAUCUUUCCACCACCCUCUGCAACAGACUACCAACAACUGUACCAUAUACAUUGGCCUCCAUCCUUUAUAACGGGUGAGCUUUCUCUGCUCCUACUCAAGGCAACCUCUCCAUUAAUACACUGGGUCCCAUGACCUUUUUCUUCCUCAAGAUCUUUGCCCAUGAAAUUAAACUUCUGUCUUUUACAUCAUUAAUUAUACACUCUUGCCUAGAUCAUUCCCAAUAAUAAAUAAACAGCAAUGCUUUAUAGAAAUAAUAGUUAACAUGGAUAUAGUAGUUAUCAUGUGCCAUAUCCUGUGAUAAAAACUGUACAUAUGUUAAUUCUUUUUAUCCUUACUCAAAUUAGAAACUAUCAUUCCCAUUUUAUGGAUGAGGAAACUGAGGCACAGCAUGUUAAGCUGAGGGUGGCAGUACUAGGGAAUCAUAGAAUCAAUAUUUGAACUAUGUAGGCUGAUGCGAGAAUUUAUGUUCUUAACCACUAUGUAAUUUGCUUCUCUCAUGUGAAUAAAACUUGUUGACUUCAA
This is a long non-coding RNA of Myotis daubentonii (Daubenton's bat), 2039 nucleotides long. RefSeq lists it as uncharacterized. The record is from RefSeq and is a predicted model, not a curated record. The transcript has 2 exons. Lineage: Eukaryota; Metazoa; Chordata; Mammalia; Chiroptera; Vespertilionidae.